UUCUUGGUAUCAAGGUGAAGAUUAUGCUUGACUGGGACCCCAAGGGCAAGCUUGGCCCUACCACCCCGCUGCCUGACCUUGUCACCAUCCACCCCCCGAAGGAGGAGGACGAGCUGCGCCCACCGGCUUUGGUUGAGGUCUAAAGUCCCAAUAGAGCAAGCAGACCAUGAAACGGCACAUCAUUUUGGUCCUAGCUACUUUUCUAUCCCUGUGAUAAGCGAGGGCUAUGCAACGCUUGGUUACCUACCUUACCUUUUAAUGGACAAAAGUUUCUGUGUAAUGCUUCUAUGUUAAUUUCGUUUAAACUAAGUUUUGCCGAGACAAGUUACUUAUGUAUGCCAGAAACCUUUGUUUGGAUUGAUUCUGCCCAGCUAGUUUGUUGCUCUUCGUUUGUGCCACCUUUUUACUGUUUGUUAUGUCUUCUUAUGCGUUCAUUCCGUAUCCACCUUUUUACAAUCAUAAUUUGUUUUUUCAGAAUUUUUAAAAAUAAUAAUU
RNAcentral lists this long non-coding RNA (495 nucleotides) under Triticum aestivum (bread wheat). RNAcentral's name for it is "long non-coding RNA (TAES_LNC025229)". Lineage: Eukaryota; Viridiplantae; Streptophyta; Magnoliopsida; Poales; Poaceae. The record is from RNAcentral.